This 21-nucleotide non-coding RNA is filed under the name Caenorhabditis elegans. Lineage: Eukaryota; Metazoa; Nematoda; Chromadorea; Rhabditida; Rhabditidae. The record is from RNAcentral.
UGGAAAAUAUUUGUGGAUAUA